This 1191-nucleotide ribosomal RNA is filed under the name uncultured soil eukaryote. RNAcentral describes it as "partial small subunit ribosomal RNA". It matches the Rfam family "Eukaryotic small subunit ribosomal RNA", at positions 73 to 1187 of the family's 1831-position model. The record is from RNAcentral.
UUUUAUUGCUGAAACUGCGGAAGGCACAUUAAAACAGUUAUAAUUUAUUUGAUCUUACAACACUUUUUCUCUGAUUUUUCAGAGUAAUUGAUUUUUUUUUCAAUUACCAAGAUGAAUCAUGAUGACAGGGAAAAGUUCUUUUAAAAAAGAACCAAUCUUUAAAAUAUCGCGGAUCAAAAGAUCAUGCGAGGGAUCAAGAAAGCAUCUGACCUAUCAUACUGUCGAUGGUGGUAUAUAGGACUACCAUGGUAUUAACGGGUAACGGGGGAUUAGGGUUCGAUUCCGGUGAGGGAGCCUGAGAAAUGGCUACCACUUCCAAGGAAGGCAGCAGGCGCGUAAAUUACCCAAUAACGACUUGUUGAGGUAGCGACAAGAAAUACCAAUGUAUUAUCUACAUGAUAAUAUGUUUGGAAUGAGACCAAUUUAAAAACUUUAACGAGGAACAAUUGGAGGGCAAGUCUGGUGCCAGCAGCCGCGGUAAUUCCAGCUCCAAUAGUGAGUGUUAAAAUUGUUGCAGUUAAAAAGCUCGUAGUUGGAUUUCUUCAAAUAUUCCUAAAAACUCAAAAGUAAAAUAAAUACUUUUUUGUAUUUUUUUACAUAAAUUUUGUUAUUUUUGGAAUUAUUUAAAAAAAAUGCCUUUUUUUAAAAUUUAAAAGUUAAAACUUUUAUUUUUUUAAUAAAAAAAAAAAAAAAAAGGAGAUUUACCUUGAAAAAAUUAGAGUGUUCAAAACAGGCUUAAUAAAAAGCCUUGAAUAAAUUAGCAUGGGAUAAUAAAAUGGAUUCUGAUAUAAAUAUUUGGUUAAAAGAUUAAGAAUUUUUUUUAAAAAAAAUUCUUAAUAAAUAUUUUUCGUUAUUUUCAGAAUAACGAUUAAUAGGGAUAGUUGGGGUCAUUUAUAUUCAGUCGUCAGAGGUGAAAUUCUAGGACCGAUUGAAGAUAAACCAAUGCGAAAGCAUCUGACAAGGAUGUUUUCAUUAAUCAAGAACGAAAGUUGGGGGAUCGAAGAUGAUCAGAUACCGUCGUAGUCCCAACCGUAAAUAAUGUGGACCUAGGAUCCACAGGUGAUAAUAUCAUAUGUCCCCCUGGGCACUAAAGUGAGAAAUCAUAAGUAUUUGCAUUCCGGGGGGAGUAUGGUCGCAAGGCUGAAACUUAAAGGAAUUGACGGAAGGGCACCACCAGGAGUGGAACCUGCG